Molecule: ribosomal RNA, 433 nt
Filed under: uncultured bacterium
Lineage: Bacteria
Description: partial 16S ribosomal RNA
Rfam family: Bacterial small subunit ribosomal RNA
Source: RNAcentral
AACGAACGCUGGCGGCAUGCCUAACACAUGCAAGUCAAACGAAGGCUUCGGCCUUAGUGGCGCACGGGUGCGUAACGCGUGGGAAUCUGCCCUUUGGUUCGGAAUAACAGCUGGAAACGGCUGCUAAUACCGGAUGAUGACGAAAGUCCAAAGAUUUAUCGCCAGAGGAUGAGCCCGCGUUGGAUUAGGUAGUUGGUGGGGUAAAGGCCUACCAAGCCGACGAUCCAUAGCUGGUCUGAGAGGAUGAUCAGCCACACUGGGACUGAGACACGGCCCAGACUCCUACGGGAGGCAGCAGUGGGGAAUAUUGGACAAUGGGCGCAAGCCUGAUCCAGCAAUGCCGCGUGAGUGAUGAAGGCCCUAGGGUUGUAAAGCUCUUUUACCCGGGAAGAUAAUGACUGUACCGGGAGAAUAAGCCCCGGCUAACUCCGUG